Homo sapiens (human) is the source of this 404-nucleotide long non-coding RNA. Ensembl annotates it as GPRC5D and HEBP1 antisense RNA 1. Its record names the gene GPRC5D-AS1. The record is from Ensembl. Lineage: Eukaryota; Metazoa; Chordata; Mammalia; Primates; Hominidae.
UGUGGACAGCCUACACCAAGGGAAGAGUCAGGGGAGAAGGAACACAAGACUCCGGAAGCAUGCCAGCGUAUAAAACCUUCUCUCUCUGUGACCUGUAAUUUGAGGGUGACAAAAAAGAACUUCCCAUGAAAGAACAAACAAACAUGACACCACCUGGGACCAUUGAAGUUGGAUUUCCCCUGGUAAGGUCUGAUGUUAUACCCUUUAAUCAUCUUUGUUGGGUUCUGCCAAGCCUCCCCAAACUUCCCACACUUCUCAUUAGUGGAUCAGUGGGUAUCCUUGCUAGAGACUGACCGAUUGUGGGUACAAUGGCACGGUUGUUCUUGCUGACCACACAUCUGUUUAUACAGUACCAUGAUUGUUUCUUGAGCAAACAAAAGCAAAGACAGUGUAGAGACGGGGUU